GGAAGCCAAGGCAGGUGGAUCACCUGAAGUUGGGAAUUCGAGAGCAGCCUGGCCAACAUGGUGAAGCCCCAUCUCUACUAAAAAAUACAAAAAAAUUAGCCAGGCGUGGUGGCACAUGCCUGUAAUCUCAGCUGCUUGGGAGGCUGAGGCAGGAGAAUCACUUGAAGCCGAAAAGCAGAGGUUGCAGUGAGCGGAGAUUGCCCCACUGCACUCCAAUCUGGGCGACAAGAGGGAAACUCCGUCUCAAUUAAAAAGAAAGAAAGAAAGAAAGAAAGCAUUAAUUCCCAUGCACGGGUCCCGGAGAAGCUAUAAUUCAGUCUUUUAUCACAGGUUCACAUUCCCUUAUAAAAAGAAAUACAGAAUCACACAUACUGCAAUACUUCCAGAAAUAAAUCAUCCACUGAGUCUUAAAAGUAAAUAACUCUGUGUUCUUGCUCUGGUGUCUACAUAACCGGGAUCUUAUAAGUAA
This 469-nucleotide long non-coding RNA is filed under the name Pan troglodytes (chimpanzee). RNAcentral describes it as "lincRNA". The record is from RNAcentral. Lineage: Eukaryota; Metazoa; Chordata; Mammalia; Primates; Hominidae.